GGCCUUUUGUAUUUAAUUGAAGGUCUGACCUGCCCGGUGAUUUAUUUAACGGCCGCGGUAUAUUGACCGUGCAAAGGUAGCAUAAUCAUUAGUCUUUUAAUAGAGGGCUGGAAUGAAAGGUUUGACGAAGGAUAGUCUGUCUCAUUUUAUUUGUGUUAAAACUUAAUUUUUUAGUAAAAAAGCUAAAAUGCUGUUGGAAGACGAGAAGACCCUAUAGAUCUUUAUAUAAAUUUAUGUAAUUAUUUAUAUAUUAAUAUGAUUACAUUAAUUUUUAUUUUGUUGGGGUGACAAAAAUAUAUAAUUAACUUUUUUAUUUAUAAUACAUUGAUUAGUGUUUAAUUGAUCCAUUAUUAUUGAUUAUUAGAACAAGUUACCUUAGGGAUAACAGCGUAAUCCUCCUUGGAAGUUCUUAUUUACAGGAUGGGCUUGCGACCUCGAUGUUGGAUUAAGAUUAUAGUUAGGUGUAGCCGCUUAAUAUAUAGGUCUGUUCGACCUUUAAAUUCUU
Molecule: ribosomal RNA, 505 nt
Filed under: Tholymis tillarga
Lineage: Eukaryota; Metazoa; Arthropoda; Insecta; Odonata; Libellulidae
Description: partial 16S rRNA
Rfam family: Bacterial large subunit ribosomal RNA
Source: RNAcentral